GAUGAACGCUAGCGGUAGGCUUAACACAUGCAAGUCGAGGGGUAACAGUCCCGCUUCGGCGGGAGCUGACGACCGGCGCACGGGUGAGUAACGCGUAUGCAACUUUCCUGUAACUGGAGGAUAGCCCCUGGAAACGGGGAUUAAUACUGCGUAAUACCUAAAUACCACAUGGUAUUAAGGUCAAAUCUACGGAGGUUACAGAUGGGCAUGCGUGCCAUUAGCUAGAUGGUAAGGUAACGGCUUACCAUGGCAAUGAUGGCUAGGGGUUCUGCAAGGAAGGCCCCCCACACUGGUACUGAGACACGGACCAGACUCCUACGGGAGGCAGCAGUGAGGAAUAUUGGUCAAUGGAGGCAACUCUGAACCAGCCAAGCCGCGUGAAGGAAGACUGUCCUAUGGAUUGUAAACUUCUUUUGUGGCAGAAUAAACUACCGUACUUGUACGGUAUUGCAUGUAUGCCAUGAAUAAGCAUCGGCUAACUCCGUGCCAGCAGCCGCGGUAAUACGGAGGAUGCAGGCGUUAUCCGGAUUUAUUAGGUUUAAAGGGUGUUCAGGCUGCCUGGUAAGUCAGGGGUGAAAGUCGGUUGCUCAACGAUCGAAUUGCCUUUGAAACUGUCAGGCUCGAGUAUGGAUGCGGUAGGCGGAAUGUGUAGUGUAGCGGUGAAAUGCAUAGAUAUUACACAGAACACCGAUUGCGAAGGCAGCUUACCAAACCAGCACUGACGCUGAAGCACGAAAGCGUGGGGAGCGAACAGGAUUAGAUACCCUGGUAGUCCACGCCGUAAACUUUGCUCACUCGCUGUUGGCGAUAGACAGUCAGCGGCCAAGGGAAACCGAUAAGUGAGCCACCUGGGGAGUACGCCGCAAGGUUGAACUCAAAGGAUGACCGGGGCCCGCACAAGCGGUGGACAUGUGGUUAAUUCGAUGAUACGCGAGGAACCCCUUACCCUGGGCUUAAAUGUGAAGUGCAUUGAUUGGAAACAAUCAUUUCCUUCGGGACCCUUUACAAGGUGCUGCAUGGUUGUCGUCAGCUCGUGCCGUGAGGUGUCGGGUUAAGU
RNAcentral lists this ribosomal RNA (1057 nucleotides) under uncultured organism. Its description in RNAcentral is "bacterial SSU rRNA". It matches the Rfam family "Bacterial small subunit ribosomal RNA", at positions 28 to 1085 of the family's 1533-position model. The record is from RNAcentral.